GACCCAGUCGUCAAAUUGGUUAAGAUCUAACAUUUUCACUGUUAUAUGUGUGGGUUCAAUUCCCACCUGGGUUA
Molecule: transfer RNA, 74 nt
Filed under: Mycocalicium subtile
Lineage: Eukaryota; Fungi; Ascomycota; Eurotiomycetes; Mycocaliciales; Mycocaliciaceae
Description: tRNA-Glu
Rfam family: tRNA
About the family: Transfer RNA (tRNA) molecules are approximately 80 nucleotides in length. Their secondary structure includes four short double-helical elements and three loops (D, anti-codon, and T loops).
Source: RNAcentral